AGUCUUCGGAUUUAGAGACCGGCGCACGGGUGCGUAACGCGUAUGCAAUCUACCUUUUACAGAGGGAUAGCCCAGAGAAAUUUGGAUUAAUACCUCAUAGUAUUAUGAAAUGGCAUCAUUUUAUAAUUAAAGUCACAACGGUAAAAGAUGAGCAUGCGUCCCAUUAGCUAGUUGGUAAGGUAACGGCUUACCAAGGCUACGAUGGGUAGGGGUCCUGAGAGGGAGAUCCCCCACACUGGUACUGAGACACGGACCAGACUCCUACGGGAGGCAGCAGUGAGGAAUAUUGGACAAUGGGCGCAAGCCUGAUCCAGCCAUGCCGCGUGCAGGAUGACGGUCCUAUGGAUUGUAAACUGCUUUUAUACGAGAAGAAACACUGCUUCGUGAAGCAGCUUGACGGUAUCGUAAGAAUAAGGAUCGGCUAACUCCGUGCCAGCAGCCGCGGUAAUACGGAGGAUCCAAGCGUUAUCCGGAAUCAUUGGGUUUAAAGGGUCCGUAGGCGGUUUGGUAAGUCAGUGGUGAAAGCCCAUCGCUCAACGGUGGAACGGCCAUUGAUACUGCCAGACUUGAAUUAUUAGGAAGUAACUAGAAUAUGUAGUGUAGCGGUGAAAUGCUUAGAGAUUACAUGGAAUACUAAUUGCGAAGGCAGGUUACUACUAAUGGAUUGACGCUGAUGGACGAAAGCGUGGGUAGCGAACAGGAUUAGAUACCCUGGUAGUCCACCCCGUAAACGAUGGA
RNAcentral lists this ribosomal RNA (738 nucleotides) under uncultured bacterium. Its description in RNAcentral is "bacterial SSU rRNA". It matches the Rfam family "Bacterial small subunit ribosomal RNA", at positions 75 to 813 of the family's 1533-position model. The record is from RNAcentral.